UACGAAGGGGGCUAGCGUUGCUCGGAAUUACUGGGCGUAAAGCGCACGUAGGCGGAUUCCUAAGUCAGGGGUGAAAUCCUGGAGCUCAACUCCAGAACUGCCUUUGAUACUGGGAAUCUUGAGUCCGGGAGAGGUGAGUGGAACUCCGAGUGUAGAGGUGAAAUUCGUAGAUAUUCGGAAGAACACCAGUGGCGAAGGCGGCUCUCUGGUCCGGUACUGACGCUGAGGUGCGAAAGCGUGGGGAGCAAACAGG
RNAcentral lists this ribosomal RNA (253 nucleotides) under uncultured bacterium. Its description in RNAcentral is "partial 16S ribosomal RNA". It matches the Rfam family "Bacterial small subunit ribosomal RNA", at positions 524 to 776 of the family's 1533-position model. The record is from RNAcentral.